UACGGGGGGGGCAAGCGUUGUCCGGAAUCACUGGGCGUAAAGGGCGCGUAGGUGGCCCGGUCAGUUCGUGGUGAAAGCGCGGGGCUCAACCCUGCGUCGGCCAUGAAUACUGCCGCGGCUGGAGCACUGUAGAGGCAGGCGGAAUUCCGGGUGUAGCGGUGGAAUGCGUAGAGAUCCGGAAGAACACCGGUGGCGAAGGCGGCCUGCUGGGCAGUUGCUGACACUGAGGCGCGACAGCGUGGGGAGCAAACAGG
This 254-nucleotide ribosomal RNA is filed under the name uncultured bacterium. RNAcentral's name for it is "partial 16S ribosomal RNA". It matches the Rfam family "Bacterial small subunit ribosomal RNA", at positions 524 to 776 of the family's 1533-position model. The record is from RNAcentral.